Molecule: ribosomal RNA, 468 nt
Filed under: uncultured bacterium
Lineage: Bacteria
Description: partial 16S ribosomal RNA
Rfam family: Bacterial small subunit ribosomal RNA
Source: RNAcentral
GACGAACGCUGGCGGCGUGCUUAACACAUGCAAGUCGAACGGAAAGGCCCUGCUUUUGUGGGGUGCUCGAGUGGCGAACGGGUGAGUAGCACGUGAGUAACCUGCCCUUGACUUUGGGAUAACUUCAGGAAACUGGGGCUAAUACCGGAUAGGAGCUCCUGCUGCAUGGUGGGGGUUGGAAAGUUUCGGCGGUUGGGGAUGGACUCGCGGCUUAUCAGCUUGUUGGUGGGGUAGUGGCUUACCAAGGCCUUGACGGGUAGCCGGCCUGAGAGGGUGACCGGCCACAUUGGGACUGAGAUACGGCCCAGACUCCUACGGGAGGCAGCAGUGGGGAAUAUUGCACAAUGGGCGGAAGCCUGAUGCAGCAACGCCGCGUGUGGGAUGACGGCCUUCGGGUUGUAAACCGCUUUCGCCUGUGACGAAGCGUGAGUGACGGUAAUGGGUAAAGAAGCACCGGCUAACUACGUG